This 402-nucleotide ribosomal RNA is filed under the name uncultured prokaryote. RNAcentral describes it as "partial 16S ribosomal RNA". The record is from RNAcentral.
CCCUAUGGGGUGCAGCAGGCCGGUGUCGGCGUCGAUGCAGACGAGUGCCUUGGUGAUCUCGCCGGCUACGUAGACCUGCGCUUCUUCGGGGACCGUGUCCAGUCCCGCCAUUUUCAGAGCCAGAUGUAGAAUCCUGUCGGUGUACAUGUGUGCUCUCUCUCACGUUUUCAGGAUGGUUGACAGGACCAGUGGACCGGAAACCGAAGGUGUUGACACAUGGAUCCGACGGUCGAUCCCUGGUAGUGUACCCACUACUUCACCGCUCAUGCAAUGCAGACAGGAUUCUGAUGAUUCUGUGAACCAUCCGUGUCAGAGAAGUUGCCUCGAUGUCGUUAGCUGGGUAGAGGCAUUCUGCUUGCCUCGUGAGCAGGCAUACGGUGACAUGAGGGGAGGCGGGGGGGC